RNAcentral lists this ribosomal RNA (261 nucleotides) under Rhodospirillaceae bacterium. Its description in RNAcentral is "partial 16S ribosomal RNA". It matches the Rfam family "Bacterial small subunit ribosomal RNA", at positions 1 to 273 of the family's 1533-position model. Lineage: Bacteria; Pseudomonadati; Pseudomonadota; Alphaproteobacteria; Rhodospirillales; Rhodospirillaceae. The record is from RNAcentral.
AUCAAACUUGAGAGUUUGAUCCUGGCUCAGAACGAACGCUGGCGGCGUGCCUAACACAUGCAAGUCGAACGAAGGCCCUAGCUUGCUAGGUGUCCUUAGUGGCGAACGGGUGAGUAACGCGUGGGAACCUACCCAAGUAUGGGGGACAACUACGGGAAACUGUAGCUAAUACCGCAUACGCCCUACGGGGGAAAGGCUUCGGCCGUACCUGGAGGGGCCCGCGUCGGAUUAGUUUGUUGGUGAGGUAACGGCUCACCAAGG